GGGGGCUGCUCCUAGUACGAGAGGACCGGAGUGGACGCAUCACUGGUGUUCGGGUUGUCAUGCCAAUGGCACUGCCCGGUAGCUAAAUGCGGAAGAGAUAAGUGCUGAAAGCAUCUAAGCACGAAACUUGCCCCGAGAUGAGUUCUCCCUGACUCCUUGAGAGUCCUGAAGGAACGUUGAAGACGACGACGUUGAUAGGCCGGGUGUGUAAGCGCAGCGAUGCGUUGAGCUAACCGGUACUAAUGAACCGUGAGGCUUAACCUUACAACGCCGAAGCUGUU
Molecule: ribosomal RNA, 281 nt
Filed under: Escherichia coli
Lineage: Bacteria; Pseudomonadati; Pseudomonadota; Gammaproteobacteria; Enterobacterales; Enterobacteriaceae
Description: partial 23S ribosomal RNA
Rfam family: Bacterial large subunit ribosomal RNA
Source: RNAcentral